RNAcentral lists this ribosomal RNA (460 nucleotides) under uncultured Gammaproteobacteria bacterium. RNAcentral describes it as "bacterial SSU rRNA". It matches the Rfam family "Bacterial small subunit ribosomal RNA", at positions 43 to 524 of the family's 1533-position model. The record is from RNAcentral. Lineage: Bacteria; Pseudomonadati; Pseudomonadota; Gammaproteobacteria.
CAGGCUAACACAUGCAAGUCGAUCGGUAACGCGGGGGCAACCCUGGCGACGAGAGGCGGACGGGUGAGGAACGCUUGGGAAUCUGCCCUUCAGCGGGGGACAACCCGGGGAAACCCGGGCUAAUACCGCAUACGCUCUACGGAGGAAAGCCGGGGACCGCAAGGCCUGGCACUGAUGGAUGAGCCCAAAUCGGAUUAGCUAGUUGGCGGGGUAACGGCCCACCAAGGCGACGAUCCGUAGCUGGUCUGAGAGGACGAUCAGCCACACCGGAACUGAGACACGGCCCAGACUCUACGGGAGGCAGCAGUGGGGAAUCUUGCGCAAUGGGCGAAAGCCUGACGCAGCCAUGCCGCGUGUAUGAUGAAGGUCUUAGGAUUGUAAAAUACUUUCGACCGGGGAAGAUAAUGACGGUACCCGGAGAAGAAGCCCCGGCUAACUUCGUGCCAGCAGCCGCGGUAAU